RNAcentral lists this ribosomal RNA (254 nucleotides) under uncultured bacterium. RNAcentral describes it as "partial 16S ribosomal RNA". It matches the Rfam family "Bacterial small subunit ribosomal RNA", at positions 524 to 776 of the family's 1533-position model. The record is from RNAcentral.
UACGGGGGGGGGCAAGCGUUGUUCGGAAUUACUGGGCGUAAAGGGCUCGUAGGCGGCCAACUAAGUCGGAUGUGAAAUCCCCAGGCUUAACCUGGGAACUGCAUCCGAUACUGGAUGGCUUGAAUUCGGGAGAGGGAUGCAGAAUUCCAGGUGUAGCGGUGAAAUGCGUAGAUAUCGAGAGGAACACCGGUGGCGAAGGCGGCAUCCUGGACCAACACUGACGCUGAUGAGCGAAAGCCAGGGGAGCAAACGGG